UACGGAGGGAGCUAGCGUUGUUCGGAAUUACUGGGCGUAAAGCGCACGUAGGCGGCUUUGUAAGUUAGAGGUGAAAGCCCGGGGCUCAACCCCGGAAUUGCCUUUAAGACUGCAUCGCUUGAAUCCGGGAGAGGUGAGUGGAAUUCCGAGUGUAGAGGUGAAAUUCGUAGAUAUCGAGAGGAACACCGGUGGCGAAGGCGGCCUUCUGGACAGUGACUGACGCUGAGACGCGAAAGCCAGGGGAGCGAACGGG
Molecule: ribosomal RNA, 253 nt
Filed under: uncultured bacterium
Lineage: Bacteria
Description: partial 16S ribosomal RNA
Rfam family: Bacterial small subunit ribosomal RNA
Source: RNAcentral